This is a long non-coding RNA of Bos taurus (domestic cattle), 1667 nucleotides long. The record is from Ensembl. NCBI's taxonomy places the organism in Eukaryota, Metazoa, Chordata, Mammalia, Artiodactyla, Bovidae.
AGCCCAGUUCUAACUGGACUGUCUGCUAGCUUCUCUCCCUCCUUCUCCCACAUGCCCAAGGAGAGAGUCCUGAGCUUUUCAGAGUCUGUGGAGGUUCCUGAUGCUUAUAUUGAAGGACACAGUCCCUAGCCCUGAGAACUGGAGUUUUUGACUUUUUAAAAGGGCCAAGUGGAGGAGGGCUCCAGAGAAAUGCCCUGAAGGAGCCCCAUCCGUUGCCCCGUGAGGUAUAGACUCGGACUUCAGAUGCCCCUCCAGAGCCUGGCUCCACAGCAAGAGAAACGCUCUCUCCGCUCCAAGCUUCAAGUUCUAUCUUGCUGGUGGCCCUCACUCCCUUCACUCCUCUGGAUCUGACACACAGGCCUCUCUGGGAUCUGGAAUGGGAGCUGCUGCUCCGAAGCAGAGGAUGGCGAGAUAGAGGAGUGCUCCAUGGCGCCUCUUAGUGGGCGGGGGCGUCACCGCGAACGGGCAUCUGGCCGGGGGCGGGGUUUGGACAGGGUUGGGCCGGCGCCGCCGCCAGGUGUGUUGGGCUGAGGAUGGAGCGGGUAUAGAGGCCGACAGGCGCUCUUCCCAGAAGGCGCCAGCAGAGGGCGCGCGAGGACCGGUCAAGAGGCCCGGCGCUUGCGAAGGCCUGGGAUGGGGGUGUGGUAGACAAGGCUGCAGGUGCCCUGGAGGAACCGCCCAGGGGCUUCUCUCCGACUCCCCCGGGUGGGAGCUGGGGCUGGAAGUGUCCGGACUGCGCGGCCCUUCGCUCCUCAGGCAGAGGUGGCCGAUGGGGAUGUGGCCUAGAGUGGGUGGGUAGACCUUCCCUAUUACCGGGCAAGGGAGUAGGGUCUGUAGAUUCAGGACUGGUGACCUUGAUGCUGAAUCUGGUAGGACCCCCUUCCUCAGACACCUCAGGUCGAAAUUCUGUGCCUCAGUUUCCCCCUGCGCGAGCUCUGUCCUUGUUCCCGGAAGCUCUAAACUGGGGCACCAGGUGGGGUGACCCAAUGAAAGGAAAUUAGUAUGCCCCAGUUCCCGCCCCCCACCUCUUCCCGUUUAUUACCCUGACCUCGCCAACCUUGAACCCAGAGCUUGGGGGAAGUAGAAAAAGAUGGGAGAGGAGAAGAGUGAGUGAUGGAAGAAGUGACACUGUAAAAGCAAAUGGAAGGGGAGGAUGGAGGAAGAGGAAGGGGAGGAAGAAGGGAAGGAGGAGGGCGUGGUUCGGUGGGUGGGUACGAAGAGGGGCUUAGCCCUCUUAGCGGAAGCUCUCCCGAGACGGGCUAACUGCGCCUGCUCUCAGCUGUGAUGAGGCCUGAGCUCUCCGCUGCAUCCCGGAACCAUCGCUCUGCCAGUUGCCCGCCUCCAGCCUCCAUGAUUUAUAGCUGGGCCAGGCCGGGCGACCUUGGAUGGAUAACUAAUGAGGGGUCAAUAACGCUACAGAAAAAGUGAACUGGUAUUGAGUGGCAAUCAUUUUCCGUGCCCUGGGGAUAUGGAAGCAACACUGGGGAUCUUAUAUUCCAGCUGCUGCUGCCAAGUCGCUUCAGUCGUGUCUGACUCUUAGCGACCCUAUGGACUGCAGCCUACCAGGCUCCUCCAUCCAUGGGAUUUUCCGGGCAACAGUACUGGAGUGGGGUGCCAUUGCCUUCAUCAAGCGGGUAUAAAAGCGUGUUUCAGGAGGUACGCCUAUG